GAGUUUGAUCCUGGCUCAGGACGAACGCUGGCGGCGUGCCUAAUACAUGCAAGUAGAACGCUGAAGGAGGAGCUUGCUUCUUUGGAUGAGUUGCGAACGGGUGAGUAACGCGUAGGUAACCUGCCUGGUAGCGGGGGAUAACUAUUGGAAACGAUAGCUAAUACCGCAUAAGAGUAGAUGUUGCAUGACAUUUGCUUAAAAGGUGCACUUGCAUCACUACCAGAUGGACCUGCGUUGUAUUAGCUAGUUGGUGGGGUAACGGCUCACCAAGGCGACGAUACAUAGCCGACCUGAGAGGGUGAUCGGCCACACUGGGACUGAGGACAGGCCCAGACGUCCUACGGGAGGCAGCAGUAGGGAAUCUUCGGCAAUGGACGGAAGUCUGACCGAGCAACGCCGCGUGAGUGAAGAAGGUUUUCGGAUCGUAAAGCUCUGUUGUAAGAGAAGAACGAGUGUGAGAGUGGAAAGUUCACACUGUGACGGUAUCUUACCAGAAAGGGACGGCUAACUACGUGCCAGCAGCCGCGGUAAUACGUAGGUCCCGAGCGUUGUCCGGAUUUAUUGGGCGUAAAGCGAGCGCAGGCGGUUAGAUAAGUCUGAAGUUAAAGGCUGUGGCUUAACCAUAGUAGGCUUUGGAAACUGUUUAACUUGAGUGCAAGAGGGGAGAGUGGAAUUCCAUGUGUAGCGGUGAAAUGCGUAGAUAUAUGGAGGAACACCGGUGGCGAAAGCGGCUCUCUGGCUUGUAACUGACGCUGAGGCUCGAAAGCGUGGGGAGCAAACAGGAUUAGAUACCCUGGUAGUCCACGCUGUAAACGAUGAGUGCUAGGUGUUAGACCCUUUCGGGGUUAGUGCCGUAGCUAACGCAUUAAGCACUCCGCCUGGGGAGUACGACCGCAAGGUUGAAACUCAAAGGAAUUGACGGGGGCCCGCACAAGCGGUGGAGCAUGUGGUUUAAUUCGAAGCAACGCGAAGAACCUUACCAGGUCUUGACAUCCCUCUGACCGCUCUAGAGAUAGAGUUUUCCUUCGGGACAGAGGUGACAGGUGGUGCAUGGUUGUCGUCAGCUCGUGUCGUGAGAUGUUGGGUUAAGUCCCGCAACGAGCGCAACCCCUAUUGUUAGUUGCCAUCAUUUAGUUGGGCACUCUAGCGAGACUGCCGGUAAUAAACCGGAGGUAGGUGGGAUGACGUCAAAUCAUCAUGCCCCUUAUGACCUGGGCUACACACGUGCUACAAUGGCUGGUACAACGAGUCGCAAGCCGGUGACGGCAAGCUAAUCUCUUAAAGCCAGUCUCAGUUCGGAUUGUAGGCUGCAACUCGCCUACAUGAAGUCGGAAUCGCUAGUAAUCGCGGAUCAGCACGCCGCGGUGAAUACGUUCCCGGGCCUUGUACACACCGCCCGUCACACCACGAGAGUUUGUAACACCCGAAGUCGGUGAGGUAACCGUAAGGAGCCAGCCGCCUAAGGUGGGAUAGAUGAUUGGGGUGAAGUCGUAACAAGGUAGCCGUAUCGGAAGGUGCGGCUGGAUCACC
Molecule: ribosomal RNA, 1530 nt
Filed under: Streptococcus pneumoniae SPAR55
Lineage: Bacteria; Bacillati; Bacillota; Bacilli; Lactobacillales; Streptococcaceae
Description: bacterial SSU rRNA
Rfam family: Bacterial small subunit ribosomal RNA
Source: RNAcentral